AGGGAUUUCGGUGUGCUUGCU
This 21-nucleotide non-coding RNA is filed under the name Arabidopsis thaliana (thale cress). The record is from RNAcentral. Lineage: Eukaryota; Viridiplantae; Streptophyta; Magnoliopsida; Brassicales; Brassicaceae.